UUAAGUUAUUAAGGGCGCACGGUGGAUGCCUUGGCACUAGAAGCCGAUGAAGGACGUUACUAACGACGAUAUGCUUUGGGGAGCUGUAAGUAAGCUUUGAUCCAGAGAUUUCCGAAUGGGGAAACCCAGCAUGAGUUAUGUCAUGUUAUCGAUAUGUGAAUACAUAGCAUAUCAGAAGGCACACCCGGAGAACUGAAACAUCUUAGUACCCGGAGGAAGAGAAAGAAAAUUCGAUUCCCUUAGUAGCGGCGAGCGAAACGGGAAGAGCCCAAACCAACAAGCUUGCUUGUUGGGGUUGUAGGACACUCUAUACGGAGUUACAAAGGACGACAUUAGACGAAUCAUCUGGAAAGAUGAAUCAAAGAAGGUAAUAAUCCUGUAGUCG
Molecule: ribosomal RNA, 385 nt
Filed under: Staphylococcus aureus Lyso 2 2010
Lineage: Bacteria; Bacillati; Bacillota; Bacilli; Caryophanales; Staphylococcaceae
Description: bacterial LSU rRNA
Rfam family: Bacterial large subunit ribosomal RNA
Source: RNAcentral